CAGUAGCCGCGGUAAUACGUAGGUCCCGAGCGUUGUCCGGAUUUAUUGGGCGUAAAGCGAGCGCAGGCGGUUAGAUAAGUCUGAAGUUAAAGGCUGUGGCUUAACCAUAGUACGCUUUGGAAACUGUUUAACUUGAGUGCAAGAGGGGAGAGUGGAAUUCCAUGUGUAGCGGUGAAAUGCGUAGAUAUAUGGAGGAACACCGGUGGCGAAAGCGGCUCUCUGGCUUGUAACUGACGCUGAGGCGCGAAAGCCAGGGGAGCGAACGGGAUUAGAUACCCCCGUAGUCCCUGUCUCUUAUACA
This 301-nucleotide ribosomal RNA is filed under the name uncultured bacterium. RNAcentral's name for it is "partial 16S ribosomal RNA". It matches the Rfam family "Bacterial small subunit ribosomal RNA", at positions 509 to 809 of the family's 1533-position model. The record is from RNAcentral.